This 225-nucleotide unclassified non-coding RNA is filed under the name Hevea brasiliensis (rubber tree). Lineage: Eukaryota; Viridiplantae; Streptophyta; Magnoliopsida; Malpighiales; Euphorbiaceae. The record is from RNAcentral.
GAAAACAGUGGAACUGACUGUAUAAAGCUUCCUUCAUAAUCCAACAACAUAAGAGCAGUAUUUUUUCUAUACUACAUGAAGUUGUCUAGCUUGAUGUUGCACGGCACAAGUGAGGAUUGAACAAUGCCUUUUAUUUUAAUUUCUUUUCUUAGAGUAAAGAUUACACAAGAACUUGCACAUUGCCAAUCGAGAAAAUCUGAUGUAGUUUGAGGAGGAAGAGUAGAC